Perognathus longimembris pacificus (Pacific pocket mouse) is the source of this 340-nucleotide long non-coding RNA. RefSeq lists it as uncharacterized. NCBI's taxonomy places the organism in Eukaryota, Metazoa, Chordata, Mammalia, Rodentia, Heteromyidae. The record is from RefSeq and is a predicted model, not a curated record. The transcript is spliced from 3 exons.
UGUGUGUGUGUGUAUGUAUGCUACUACCAGGUACCAGGGCUUGAACUCAGGGCCUCACAUGCAUGACUUGAUUUUCCUGCUCAUGCCUGGAACUCAACCACUCCAGCCUUACUCCAGUCCAGCAUUUGAUGGGUUAACUGGAGAUGCAGGCUUGCAGACAUUUCUGCUGGGCUGGCUCCUGAGUACCUGGGGCUAUAGGUAUGAGCCACCAACAUCCAGCAAAAUCAACAAGCUUUUAAUGAGCAUGUACUUACUCAGGGACAGGCCCUUGCUUAGGUGCUGGAGGGUGACUAAGAAAAUAAUUAAUGAAUUAAUGAAUGGAUGGAUGAAUGAAUAUGUA